Molecule: long non-coding RNA, 431 nt
Filed under: Brassica napus (rape)
Lineage: Eukaryota; Viridiplantae; Streptophyta; Magnoliopsida; Brassicales; Brassicaceae
Description: long non-coding RNA (BNAP_LNC022145)
Source: RNAcentral
UAAUAUUUUAAUAUCAAAUACAUAACUUUUAGCCUUUCUAAUCAGUUGUUGAAAUUAGCAGCAAGAAAACGUGUAACAAGCACAAAGUAAGUCGUAAUUGAAGUAAUUGUGUUUAAUUUAUUUUUCGGUAGCUUUUUUCUGCCUCUUACUCUACAACCUGAGCUUUGAUCGAUCGAACUCUUAAAAAAAUUCUUUAACUAAAAUUUUACAAAGUUUAAAAAAAAAAACUAAAAUUUUACAAAGUGGAUUGAAAAAAAAGUUCUAAAAGUCAUCACAUGCUAAUCUACGCGACAUGUUUUCUUUUAUUUUAUAGAUAGACAACUUGACUAGUUGUUGAUAGAGAAUGUGGCUAAGCCCAAAAAAAAAAGUAAACAGACACAAUGUUGUAUACAGAUUUUUCUUACACACGAUCAUUGUUCUUGCAAAAACAA